RNAcentral lists this ribosomal RNA (305 nucleotides) under uncultured bacterium. RNAcentral describes it as "bacterial SSU rRNA". It matches the Rfam family "Bacterial small subunit ribosomal RNA", at positions 338 to 635 of the family's 1533-position model. The record is from RNAcentral.
CCUACGGGAGGCAGCAGUGGGGAAUAUUGCACAAUGGGCGAAAGCCUGAUGCAGCAACGCCGCGUGAAGGAAGAAGGUCUUCGGAUCGUAAACUUCUGUCAGGAGGGAAGAAAGCGCAUGGCGCCAAUCAGCCAUGCGUUGACGGUACCUCCAAAGGAAGCGCCGGCUAACUCCGUGCCAGCAGCCGCGGUAAUACGGAGGGCGCGAGCGUUAAUCGGAAUUACUGGGCGUAAAGCGCGCGUAGGCUGUUGUGUAAGUUGGGGGUGAAAUCCCACGGCUCAACCGUGGAACAGCCCUUGAUACUG